UGGUGUGAUGAUGUACCAUCUUUCGGGACAGAUAACCCUUGAUAGAAAAAAAAGCUACCUGAACACCA
Small nucleolar RNA from Pomacea canaliculata, 68 nucleotides. RefSeq annotates it as small nucleolar RNA SNORD2. The record is from RefSeq and is a predicted model, not a curated record. NCBI's taxonomy places the organism in Eukaryota, Metazoa, Mollusca, Gastropoda, Architaenioglossa, Ampullariidae. The transcript has a single exon.